AGCGAACGCUGGCGGUAGGCCUAACACAUGCAAGUCGAACGGCAGCACAGUAAGAGCUUGCUCUUACGGGUGGCGAGUGGCGGACGGGUGAGGAAUACAGCGGAAGCUACUUUUUCGUGGGGGAUAACGUAGGGAAACUUACGCUAAUACCGCCUACGACCUACGGGUGAAAGCAGGGGAUCUUCGGACCUUGCGCGAUUGAAUGAGCCGAUGUCGGAUUAGCUAGUUGGCGGGGUAAGGGCCCACCAAGGCGACGAGCCGUAGCUGGUCUGAGAGGAUGAUCAGCCACACUGGAACUGACACACGGUCCAGACUCCUACGGGAGGCAGCAGUGGGGAAUAUUGGACAAUGGGCGCAAGCCUGAUCCAGCCAUACCGCGUGGGUGAAGAAGGCCUUCGGGUUGUAAAGCCCUUUUGUUGGGAAAGAAAAGCAGCAGGUUAAUACCCCGCUGUUCUGACGGUACCCAAAGAAUAAGCACGGGCUAACUUCGUG
Molecule: ribosomal RNA, 492 nt
Filed under: uncultured bacterium
Lineage: Bacteria
Description: partial 16S ribosomal RNA
Rfam family: Bacterial small subunit ribosomal RNA
Source: RNAcentral